GUCUCCAGUCUUCCCAUCCUGAACACACCUGAGCUUGUCGGGUCUCGGAAGGUGAGUAGGGUUGGGUCUGGUUAGUACUUGGGUGAAAAAAAUGCAGACUUUGCCCUGAAGUUU
This is a ribosomal RNA of Carlito syrichta (Philippine tarsier), 114 nucleotides long. Lineage: Eukaryota; Metazoa; Chordata; Mammalia; Primates; Tarsiidae. The record is from Ensembl.